RNAcentral lists this unclassified non-coding RNA (217 nucleotides) under rhizosphere metagenome. RNAcentral's name for it is "partial ribosomal RNA internal transcribed spacer region". The record is from RNAcentral.
GUAGGUGAACCUGCGGAAGGAUCAUUACCGAGUUCAUGCCCUUCGGGGUAGAUCUCCCACCCUUUGUAUACUAUACCUUUGUUGCUUUGGCGGGCCGCCUAGCUACUGGCUUCGGCUGGUAAGUGCCCGCCAGAGGAUCCAAAACCCUGAAUUAUUAGUGUCGUCUGAGUAAAAUAUUUAAUAUUUAAAACUUUCAACAACGGAUCUCUUGGUUCCC